RNAcentral lists this ribosomal RNA (407 nucleotides) under uncultured bacterium. RNAcentral describes it as "partial 16S ribosomal RNA". It matches the Rfam family "Bacterial small subunit ribosomal RNA", at positions 30 to 526 of the family's 1533-position model. The record is from RNAcentral.
AUUGAACGCUGGCGGCAGGCCUAACACAUGCAAGUCGAGCGGAGCGGCGGACGGGCGAGUAAGGCCUAGGAAUCUGCCUGGCAGUGGGGGAUAAAGACCGGAAAGGGGCGCUAAUACCGCAUACUCGCUGACGGGCCUAGGUCGGAUUGGCUAGUUGGUGGGGUAAAGGCUUACCAAGGCGACGAUCCCUCACUGGUCUGAGAGGAUGAUCAGUCACACGGGGACUGAGACACGGUCCAGACUCCUACGGGAGGCAGCAGUGGGGAAUAUUGGACAAUGGGCGAAAGCCUGAUCCAGCCAUGCCGCGUGUAUGAAGAAGGUCUUCGGAUUGUAAAGCACUUUAAGUUGGGAGGCGUUACCAACAGAAUAAGCACCGGCUAACUUCGUGCCAGCAGCCGCGGUAAUUC